CUCUAGGAUUAACCCCUUUUUUUUUUAUCAACAUAGCAGUUUCAGAGAAACUGCUAUGUUUAUAAAUGGGUUAAUCCAGCCUCCAAAUCCUCUAGUGGCUGUCUCAUUGACAGCCGCUAGAGGCGCUUGCGUGCUUCUCACUGUGAAAAUCACAGUGAGAACACGCAAGCGUCCAUAGGAAAGCAUUAUAAAUGCUUUCCUAUGAGACCGGCUGAAUGCGCGCGCAGCUCCUGGCGCACAUGCGCAUUCAGCCGAAG
RNAcentral lists this long non-coding RNA (257 nucleotides) under Pelobates cultripes (western spadefoot toad). The record is from RNAcentral. Lineage: Eukaryota; Metazoa; Chordata; Amphibia; Anura; Pelobatidae.